RNAcentral lists this ribosomal RNA (393 nucleotides) under Triticum aestivum (bread wheat). RNAcentral's name for it is "partial small subunit ribosomal RNA". The record is from RNAcentral. Lineage: Eukaryota; Viridiplantae; Streptophyta; Magnoliopsida; Poales; Poaceae.
AUGUUGGGAUGGUCAAAACCAUUCGCCAAGUUCUUGGGUUGUAUGCCACGGCUACCCAAGAUGGAUUUAAUCCCGAGUCUCACUUUAGCCAAAGGCUCUAAGUGCCAUGCAUAUGUGCAAGCUAAGCAAACUUGUAAGCCUCACAAGCCUACAAAGGAGAGACACCUGGCACCACUAGAGCACGUAUGUUCAGAUAUGUGCAAGAUGAAUGGUGUCUUGACUAAAGGUGGAAAGAAAUAUUUUGUGACAUUGAAUGAUGAUUCCUCUAGAUUGUGCUAUGUGUAUUUCUUAAAUACUAAGGAUGAGGCUCUACACUACUUCAAAAUCUAUAAGGCAGAAGUUGGAAGUGGUAGUGCCACCAGUGAUGCGGAACAUUUAUCUGCCAAUGUUUGA